This 406-nucleotide ribosomal RNA is filed under the name uncultured bacterium. RNAcentral's name for it is "partial 16S ribosomal RNA". It matches the Rfam family "Bacterial small subunit ribosomal RNA", at positions 30 to 526 of the family's 1533-position model. The record is from RNAcentral.
AUUGAACGCUGGCGGCAGGCUUAACACAUGCAAGUCGAGCGAGCGGCGGACGGGUGAGUAAUGUCUGAAAAACUGCCUGAUGGAGGGGGAUAAAUACUGGAACCUGUCGAUAAUACCGCAUACCCUCAGAUGUGCCCAGAUGGGAUUAGCUAGUAGGUGGGGUAAUGGCUCACCUAGGCGACGAUCCCUAGCUGGUCUGAGAGGAUGACCAGCCACACUGGAACUGAGACACGGUCCAGACUCCUACGUGAGGCAGCAGUGGGGAAUAUUGCACAAUGGGCGCAAGCCUGAUGCAGCCAUGCCGCGUGUGUGAAGAAGGCCUUCGGGUUGUAAAGUACUUUCAGCGAGGAGGCGUUACUCGCAGAAGAAGCACCGGCUAACUCCGUGCCAGCAGCCGCGGUAAUUC